AAAGUUAGUCUUUUUUAACAAAGGUCUCUUUACAGUGCUCUCUACUUCACACCCUCUCACCUCCUCCCCUCCAGGUGUGCUGCCAGGUCUCACUCCAUCCACUCGAUACAUUAUCACUGUAAGUGCCUGUAGUCCUGUCGGCUGCACUGAGAGUCUUCAUAAUGACAAUGGUGAUGAUAAUGAUAUGAGAUCGAGCCUCAGAACCCCCGAGGAAGCUCCAGAUGUUGUCUCUCCUCCAGCUGCAGUCUCAUCCCCCUCAGCUCUUUAUGUUACCUGGGAACCUCCAGCAAAGCCCAAUGGAGGCAUUACAGAGUACCUCCUCUAUCACAACAACCAAGUGGUCUACAGGGGCAAAGACAGACAACACAACAUCACUGGUAAGGAGGAGAGUGUGUAUGUGUAUGUUUGCGUGUGUGUGUGUGUGUGUGUGUGUGUGUGUGUGUGUGUGUGUGUGUGUGUGUGUGUGUGUGUGUGUGUGUUGCAGUGUAGCUGUGACUGGAGCAAUGGGGCCUCGGUGUAAAGAGAAGGGGAAGAGUGGAGAAAAGCAAAAUGGAGUGGGGGAUUAGCAUUUGAAAGAGGAAAGAGCAUCUCAGUCUU
This 597-nucleotide long non-coding RNA is filed under the name Sparus aurata (gilthead seabream). Its description in RNAcentral is "lncRNA (ENSSAUG00010010193.1)". Lineage: Eukaryota; Metazoa; Chordata; Actinopteri; Spariformes; Sparidae. The record is from RNAcentral.